RNAcentral lists this ribosomal RNA (744 nucleotides) under uncultured organism. RNAcentral's name for it is "bacterial SSU rRNA". It matches the Rfam family "Bacterial small subunit ribosomal RNA", at positions 681 to 1439 of the family's 1533-position model. The record is from RNAcentral.
GUAAAAUGCGCAGAGAUCGGGAGGAACACCAGUGGCGGAGGCGGUUCCCUGGGGCACACCUGACGCUGAGAGACGAAAGCUAGGGGAGCGAACAGGAUUAGAGACCCUGGUAGUCCUAGCCCUAAACGAUGAAUGCUAGGUGUGGGAUCGAAUGGUUCCGUGCCGGAGCGAACGCGUUAAGCAUUCCGCCUGGGGAGUACGGCCGCAAGGUUAAAACUCAAACGAAUUGACGGGGCCCCGCACAAGCAGCGGAGCGUGUGGUUUAAUUCGAUGCUACACGAAGAACCUUACCUGGGUUUGACAUGUAGGUGGUAGUGAAUCGAAAGGUGAACGACCCUUCGGGGAGCCUACACAGGUGCUGCAUGGCUGUCGUCAGCUCGUGCCGUGAGGUGUCGGGUUAAGUCCCGUAACGAGCGCAACCCUUGCUCCUAGUUACAAGUGUCUAGGGGGACUGCCGGCGGAAAGCCGGAGGAAGGUGGGGAUGACGUCAAGUCAGCAUGGCCCUUAUAUCCAGGGCUACACACACGCUACAAUGGUCGGUACAAAGGGCAGCGAAACCGCGAGGCGGAGCGAAUCCGAGAAAAGCCGAUCGUAGUUCGGAUAGCAGGCUGCAACCCGCCUGCUUGAAGCUGGAGUUGCUAGUAACCGCGCGUCAGCCAUAGCGCGGUGAAUACGUUCCCGGGGCUUGUACACACCGCCCGUCACGUCAUGGGAGUCGGUAACGCCUGAAGCCGGUAGUCUAAC